UACGUAGGGGGCAAGCGUUGUCCGGAUUUAUUGGGCGUAAAGAGCGUGUAGGCGGCUGGGUAGGUCCGCUGUGAAAACUUGAGGCUCAACCUCAAGCUGUCGGUGGAAACCCCUUGGCUAGAGUCCGGAAGAGGAGAGUGGAAUUCCUGGUGUAGCGGUGAAAUGCGCAGAUAUCAGGAAGAACACCAAUGGCGAAGGCAGCUCUCUGGGACGGUACUGACACUGAGACGCGAAAGCGUGGGGAGCGAACAGG
RNAcentral lists this ribosomal RNA (253 nucleotides) under uncultured bacterium. RNAcentral describes it as "partial 16S ribosomal RNA". It matches the Rfam family "Bacterial small subunit ribosomal RNA", at positions 524 to 776 of the family's 1533-position model. The record is from RNAcentral.